RNAcentral lists this long non-coding RNA (1240 nucleotides) under Gossypium barbadense (sea-island cotton). RNAcentral's name for it is "long non-coding RNA (GBAR_LNC011335)". Lineage: Eukaryota; Viridiplantae; Streptophyta; Magnoliopsida; Malvales; Malvaceae. The record is from RNAcentral.
AAUUAACUCUUUAAACUAAUGUACAUAGAUUAAUUUACCAAUUUCUUAAUACAAGAAAAACUACAACAAAACAGGCCUAUCGUGACAACUUUUUUUUUACUUUAGACGGUGAAAAAAGGUUGGCAUGGGUCAUCACAAUGCUUCUCCCGACACUUCUGAAAACGUCGUCUAUAGCGCAAUUGGCAUAGAUUCCGCGACGCUUUUGAAAAAACGUCAACAUAAUUCAACAUAAGCCGACCUUUAUUGAAGGAGUGGCAAAAACCUAAUCAAUGCUGACAUUUACAAAAGGUUGGGAUAGACUCGUCUAAGACAACCUUAAAAAGGUUGGGAUAGACCCGUCUAAGACAACCUUAAAAAGGUUGGGAUAAACCUUGUCUAAAGUAACCUUUAAAAAAGAUUAGAAUAGACUCGUCUAAAGCAACCUUAAAAAAGUUGAGAUAAGCCUUGUCUAAGGCAUCCUUAAAAAGGUUGGGAUAGACACGUCUAAGGUAAUUUUUUUUCUAUUUUUUAUUAUUUCAAUAUUAAUAUAUUUUCAUAAACAUUUAUAGUAAAUAAUGAUAGAAAUGGUGCUUUAAAUACAACUAAAAAAUAAAAAAUUAAAAUUAAAAUAAAGGUUGAAUAUAUUUUUUCAAAUGCACAUUUGAAGACUACAAUCUUUUGAAUCUAUUGAAAUCAUAAGACUCUCUUAGUUAAAAAGGCAAUUAAACAUAUUUAAUAACAUAUAUAGGAAGCAAGUUAAUAUAUUAACCCAAUGUACAGAAGUAAACAAAUGAGUUUGAAAUUUCUUGCAAGUAACCCAAUGUGCUGAAUUUUGUACUACCAUUCUCAAAAUUUUAUAAGCCUUAAAAAUUUUAGACUUGAAAUUAUAGAAAAUAAAAAUUGUUUUUCAGCUUGAUAAACCUCACGUUACCAACAUAAAUCGAGCGGGAAUCCACUUCCUCCUUUUCAGCUUGACUUGUGGAAGCACUUGAGGAAUCUUCAUAGACAUCCAGGGAAAAAAGGUAAAAACAAAUCAGUUUGCUAGACAUAAACAAUUCAUAAUGGUUGAGAAUGGUUGAGCACAACAGUGAGCAGAGAAAGGGCUUGGCCCCUAGAAUCUGCAACGUUCAUGGCUAGAUCGGUUUCCCCCACGAGAUUUUUGAUCGAUUUUUGCGUCGGAAUUGUAAGAAAGGGGAUAGAGUUAGGGUUUGAAGGGGUAAGUGCUUAGGAAGUGGAGAAAAGAGAAGAGGAAGGAGACGAA